CAGAGGAACAGGGAUGAGGAGUCUCUGUGAGUGUGGCAGGAUCCACUUUUGACUUUCUGAGGAACCUGCAUACGAUUUCCACAGUGGUUGCAGUACUCCCAUCUCCAGUGAGUUUCUUGUCAACCAUCUUCUUGCAAGCAUUUGUUGUUAUAUGUUUUCUCCAUCAGAGCCUUUCUGGCCAGGGAGAGAUGAAAUAUCAAAUUAGUUUUAAUUUGUAUGGUUCUGAUGUCUGAGAAUGUUGAAUCUUUAAAUUUUUACUGUCUUUUGUUUCUUAUCUAUAAAAAUAUCUGCUCACCUUGCUCUUUCAUUAAUGGGUGGUUUCCUGUUGGAGUAUCUAAUUUUGCAAAUGAGGGGAGAGUUGGGUGUAUAUAUGAGAUGUCAGGAAGAUAAAGUGGAACAUACUAAAAACAGAGCUACCACGUGGCCCUGCUAUACUACUUCAGGACAUAGACACAAAGACAAAGGGACUCUUCUCAUGAAGAGUAGGCAGCAAAGUUUAUAUUAGUCACGUUGUGACAUUAUCGACUUUUCAUGGUCUUGAAUAGAGAUUAAUUUUGAUUCUUUGACCAGUAGGCUAUGACUUAAGAGCCUUAUAAAGCUCUGUAUCAAGAAGUCAAAAUCUGUCUGCCUUCAUCUUUAUUUCUGGGAGCCAAAUUAUCUUGUGUGUGCCCAAGUAUUUUUGCAAGAAAGGCCACUUUAAAGUUGAGAGAUUCACUUUUCUUACUUUAGAUUACUAUGGCUAGAGUAAAACAAUCCCUGUAGGAUCUGGUAAACAGCUGGCUAAUUUGACCCAACCAUUGUCCCAUUGUCCUUUCUGGUAUAUUGAACAUACCAUUGUUUCAUUGUGGACUCAGUUUAUUUAAUUGUUUGUAUUUGUUGUCUUGGGGUUUUGGCUCAUUUCCCCCUUUAUUCUACUUUAUUUAAGUAGUCAAAGAAUUUUUUCAUUGAUAUUUGAUAUUUUUAUCUAGGACUUCUUGCUCCAGUAGUUCUCCCACUGCUCCUGCAGGAAGUGACUCACCACAGUCCAGUUCUCUAUCUUCAUCAAAAAUACUUCACAUUCUCAAGCGAGGACAUGUUUUGAGCAACAUAGGUUCAGCUCUAAAGAGCAACUUAUUGCCUUUCUUUAUCAUGGACUUGUGAAUGUGUUUUGUCACAACACUCUGAAAGAAUACUCUGAUGAAUUUUAAAUAGAGCAGGAACACAGGAAUAAUGAUUAAUUGUGUAUCUGAAGUCGAAAACCUUUCUAAAUAUUCAGGUCACAUUUUCAAAUAUGUUUUUCUUCCUAUUAUCAAAUUAUAUGAUAUUUGAUUAGCCCCAGGCCCAACCUCAGCUUAGAGAGGGGUUCCUGAGAGAGAAGAUGUUUGGGAGAGGUGAAGUAAAUGACUAAAUGUCACAGCAUGGGUCCAAACUGAUGGCCUAUGAUCUGCUUGAGACAGCUUUCCAAAUUGCACACUCUUUGUGUGGGUGUUCUACUUGAAACAUCUUUCUCUUGCUAUUCUAAAAACUCUCUUGGCAGUGCAUUUCUUGAAGAUCAAAAGCCCAGUCAAAUGAGUCAUUACCCUUUUGAUUAUACUAUGAAAGAACAACCCACAGCCCCUUGGUUCUUAGAAAGAGAAAGCAAACAAAAACACAGACAAUAAGAUAGCUGGGUGGGACCCCACCUGGAAAUUACCAUUCCUACCUUACUGGAGACUACCUGUCCCAGGCUGACCUUGAACUGAGGAAUCUGCCCGCCUUUCUAGCAUAAACAACAACAACAAGAGCAGCAGCAGCAAAAACAAAACAGUUGAGUGGGAUCUUGCCCUGUGAUCACCCCUUCCUAAAUUUCUAUGUCCUUCCUUAGUAUAUUUUUAACAAGCUGGCUUACAAUGUAGCUGCCUUUGUUCCUUUAGAUCUGUUAAGCUCUUUAUACGAAUCAUGUUGCAUUCUUGCAUUUUGUAUAAUUGAGAAAUAUAUUUGUUAACUCGUGUUUUCAGAGUUCUUUCUUACAGCCUUAGGGGUGUCCUGAAGGUUACAGCAUUCUACCACUUUGCAGAUACAUUAGACACACCCUCAGCUCCCAGACUAGUUCUGUCUUUGAUUAUCAUGGUGCCAUUAACCUUGGCACAGUGAUAUUCCUUGAAGAAUCAUGAAAAUGUGUACAUUAUUAUACAAAUAAUCUUUAAGCCCACAGUGACCAUCAAUAUCUAUGAAGACCCAUGUCCUGCUGACUCUGUUCUAGAGACAGGAACCACAUCAUUCUAUUCUUUAUAUCCAAGCAGGCAUGAUUGAGUUACACAAACAAAAAGGAUGGAAAACAAACCCAAACAAACAGUUUUCUAAAUCAUACUCUAGAUUCCAGGUAGAAACACAGAUUUUAUGGCUCUCAUCUCUCCUUGCAACUAAGAUUUCUCUCACAUCCUGUUUGCCUUUCCUCUGUGUUUGCUUGCUCCUUCAUCAAAUUUGAAAUACCUACCUUGUGGUAAACGAAUAGCUUGCCUCAUUUCUUCUGAGAUUCUGUUUAGCUCAACUGCAAUCUGUCUUAGUGUGUUUUCUUUAAAGUUGGGUCUGACUUAUAAUGAGUUUUAAUCUACCAGGCUGAAUAUUUUACGUUUUUCUCUCCCAUCCUGGGUUAAAUCUGAGAACUGAGUGGAAGACCACAGAAAACCCCACUGUAAUUAAGAGGGAAAACAGCACAUAGACUUGACUUUCACAUCUUUCCAUCAAGGCAGUAAUGAUGUUGCCAACCCUUAGGUGGGCAUGUGUUGCCCUAAAAGGUUUCCAGUAAUGAAAUUAAUAUCUCAAAGCUAAGGAGAUGUUCUAGAGUUUAAUAAUAGUAUUGUCAAUUAUUCUUCAAGUCUCAGCCCUACAAAAUGAGUGGGAGGCAACCUGGUAAGACAAAGAAAGUCUCCCUGCCUAGUUAUGAAGACAUUUUUAAAUCAAUGAUUGAACCGGAUUUUCAGAGCGGUAAAUAUCUAGUGUGUUUCUCUGCUUUUUACAUUAAUGUAACAAUUUGGCAGUCAUAAAGCAAUCUUGGCCAUGUAUCUGAAAGCAUAAAACCCAAACACUUGUAGCUGCCAGGUGUGUAAUUUUCUGCUGUUCACACUGAGGUGUAUAAACUGGGAAGAUAGUCUAUUUUGUGUAACUCCAGCCAGCCACAUCAGCUAAGGUGGAAUUUUUAUGUGACCUAUUCCUAUUUAUAGACUCCCAUCAGCUUCCUACUUUUAUAUGUACUAUAAGGAACCAAAAUACCCAUAAUCUGGCAAGAGAAAAAACACCAGAACCUUACCUGGAGAAUGAAUGAGUCUCCUCAUAAAUUUUAUAGAUUAAAAAAUGAUUCAUUUGAUAAAAGUUGUAAUAAUUUUUAAAUGUAAUCCUUUAUGCGGCAAUUAAAGUAUUGUGUUGAUUUGCAAUCAAUUUGGUAUAUUUAGAAAUACAUCACGAGCUAAAGAGACCAUACCAUCAAGUACUGUGUGCCAAGCUACAGCAGCACUCUCUGUCCUCUCUGAAGAGCAGAGUUGGGUUCUCAUGCUUUGUGAUUCACACACUGAUAAAAGUCAGUGGACAAAAAUGUGGACCUGCUCCCUCAAUUGCAAGUUACAUAUAUGCUACCAUGUCAGCUGCCUCUUAUAAGAUUGUAUAAUGCAUCAUCACAGAAAAAAUUCAUAAUGCCUGUGAAAGUUGAUCCAUAAAAGCAUUGCAAUGGAGUCUCAAGGGAGGAGGAGAAAUUGUGCUCAACUUCAACAAGACCCAUAUCAACAAAUGCUUCGUAGGUAGAAGUAGCAAUGGGUUGGAAAGUUGCUAGGGCAAAUAGCAGGGGUAAAGGAAAUCUCUGAUAGGCAUACUCCACUCAGUUGUGCUGAGAAGACAAAGUUAGAAGUGGAUGAUAAAACUCAGACACAGAAGAUGGACAGAAACAAAGAAAGAUGAGCUCUGGUCCACUGACCUUAAUUCUACAAGGAAACUGACAGUGAAACAAAGUUUAGGCUAGGCCAGUAGCAGGCUUAACCCUAAUCAAAGCUGGAUCAAAACCAAUAUCUAUCAGAUAUCAUAAACUUAGUGACAUAUAUGAUUAAGCUGAGGGUCUUCAGAAUAGCCUGUAUUUAGUAACUGAUGGGGUUAAAAUCAAUGUCCAAAUCCCUUUCUUUGCUCCUUGGUUUUGAUCUGAUUUUGGGCUAUACAGAAAGAAAAAUACCUCCACAUUCCUUAAGGAUGAUGGCGGUAUCUGUAACAGCUAAAGGGCAUAAAAGAUAACAGUUCCUAAAGAAAGACAUCAUUUGAGUAAAUGUCUGAAACAUCUAACAAUUAUUCUCUGAGUUUACAUGUCUUGAAGGAGAAAAGUGAGCAAACCAGAUCUUGGCUGUUGUUCCCGUACCAACUCUACUGGAAGUUUGAGUGGACCACAGUUUACCAACAUUUUCAAAGCCCCUAGUUUCUGAAGAAGUUCUUGUCUACCACUCAACCGUGUUGCUGACUACCCUGAUACAUCUGUCUGACAGAGCCUGGAACCACAUCUGUUCAAUUUUGUACUUUGAGCCAUUCAUCCACUUUCUAAUCAAUAAAGUUGAAGGAAUUGGUACAGGUCUGACAGAUGAACUAACUUGGAACCCAGAGUCUGCUCAUAUCUGGUUUUGCCCUUGGCUCUGGAAACGCUGUCACUGUCACCAUCUGGGCAACAAUCUCUUCCAUGGGACAGGGUUGCUUCAAGACUGCUGCUCUGGAGGCUGCUGUCAAUCAUGACCCUUGCCCUCAUCCUAGGAAGGAUCUGCAAGCAAGGCUUGUGUUGCUUGAGGAAAGGUAAGGUGCCAUAACAUAAAGAUAUUCAUCAAUCGGUCUGGCCCUUUGUCAAACCCAGAGGUCUAGCAAAAAAGGGAGACUAAAGAGGAUGCACUAAGGAUGCAAAAUAGUACCACAUGGGGACAAAACAAACUUCUUUUUUAUCCUGUCCUUUUCUUUAUCCUGUUUCAUAUGAAAAAAAUUACCAAAAUAAAAUUAAUAUAUUCAUUUUCUUUGUUCUUCACUCUUUUUCUGUAAAUCCACUGAAAGAGGAAGUUUCUGGGUUCUUUUCUAUAUACGGCUGAGAGAAAUUUAAAAAUUCACCACUAAUUAAAUUUGCUUUUCUCUUGAAAUAAAACUCACAAAAUUAAGACAAAAGUAUUCUAUAAUCAUGUCUAAAAGAAAGAUGCAGAGAAUAAUUAGGACAUUACCUGAGGGAUUAUAAAAAAUUAAGAUAACAAAGUCUCAAAACAGACGAAAUGUUUUUUUUCUCUUCAUGUUAUCAACCAACGAAUCAUGGUGGAUGCAUGAUUAUCUUCUGAUCUAUAUAGCACUGCUCUCUGACCUGACAGUCUCUGCUAUAGUUCUACCUUUUGUAACUGCACUGAAUCAAUCAGCAAGAGUUACUGGAUAGUGGUGCUCAUGAGGCUCCAAGUUCUUAGCAAGGAACUUAAAUGCAUCCCAUGUAUUUUACUCACAUAGUUGAGUUAUAUGGUCAUUAAAGAAAGAAAUGUCUAGAAAAGACAACAUUUAUGUGGCUUUAUGGGAACUUAGUCAAAGCGGUUUGUUGUAUGUAAAAGAAGCACUGAUGGUACAUGUUAUCAAAUAAGCACCUUCAUGUAGAUUUUUGAACAGAUUGAACCUACAAUGAAAUUCCAUUUCUUUGUUAUUUGAUUAAUAGAUAGAACAUAUACCUGUGUCCACCCCCCACCAGAAUCAUAAGGGGACAAAUGGAAUGAAAUUAUAUUUCUAGAAUCCUUCAACAUCUUUGAGAAAAAGAUAUUAACUACUAUACUCUAGAGAAGGUAAAGUGAAGGCCCUGAAAUCUUGACUUUAAUUAAGGAAACUUUAGUCCAUUAGGAUUGGCAGUCGUGGUUGGUGCUAAGUCAUGUUGUGUAGGUAUUUUACCUUAUUGCACAGACUUUAUGCAUAUAGGUACAAAUUCUUUACUUGCUUCACACACCAAGACAUUUAGAACCACAUGGCUCCUGAGAUGUGUUUAGUGUUUAUAUCAUCAGAGAGAUAACUAACUCAAAAGUCUACUUAUAUGUUUAUGAGUUGUUGAUGUAUGCAAUGUGGUUUCAAGAAGGAUGACAUUGGGAAAUAUGAGAGAUUGAUGUUAAUGUAAUCUUUGACAAGAAAUCAUGAAGAAAAUCACUGCAUCGUACACAAGUUCCAUAUGUCCAGCUUGAUACUGAAAACAGCCAUAAAAUAGGCACCUUCUUUGAUGUACACUUCAAAGUACCCCAGCCUCACCAUUACCACUGCCAAUAUACAAACACACACACACACACACACGCACGCACACACGCAUGCAUGCACGCACGCACACACAUGCACACAUACAGAACAGCACUGAUAUUGGCCUGUUAGUGACAGUGUGCCACCUAGUGUUUGUAGAUAUUGUCAAUCACAGACAAAUGUAUGUUGUCAGCCUUAGUUAAUAAGAAAUUUACAAAUGGACAUGAGUUAGUUCUUCAUCCUGUGGUACCAUGUCA
Rattus norvegicus (Norway rat) is the source of this 6473-nucleotide non-coding RNA. NCBI's taxonomy places the organism in Eukaryota, Metazoa, Chordata, Mammalia, Rodentia, Muridae. The record is from RefSeq and is a predicted model, not a curated record.